Molecule: ribosomal RNA, 250 nt
Filed under: uncultured bacterium
Lineage: Bacteria
Description: partial 16S ribosomal RNA
Rfam family: Bacterial small subunit ribosomal RNA
Source: RNAcentral
GACGAAGGAUGCAAGCGUUAUCCGGGUUCAUUGGGUUUAAAGGGAGCGUAGGUGGCCUUAUAAGUCAGUGGUGAAAUCUCUGGGCUUAACCCAGAAAUUGCCAUUGAUACUGUAGGGCUUGAGUAUAGAUGCCGUUGGCGGAAUAUGACAUGUAGUGGUGAAAUACAUAGAGAUGUCAUAGAACACCGAUUGCGAAAGGCAGCUAACGAAACUAUAACUGACACUGAGGCUCGAAAAGUGUGGGGGAUCA